Non-coding RNA from Megalopta genalis, 1295 nucleotides. The record is from RefSeq and is a predicted model, not a curated record. NCBI's taxonomy places the organism in Eukaryota, Metazoa, Arthropoda, Insecta, Hymenoptera, Halictidae.
UGAAAAACAAAGCUGAAACUUGCAUUCAUAUUGUUUUAGAAUACAUAUUUAAUACAUAUUUAAAUUAGUAAUUAGAGAAACAAUAACCUUUUCUAUGCAUAUAGUUCCACUGUUUAAUAACUACGACUAUUUUCAGGGCCUCAAAUUCAUGCAAGCAGAAAAGUACGUCCUUAUUCAUUCCAGAAGUGAGAAUGUCGAUGCCAGAAUAAAAUAUGGAGCAUCAGGCAAACGGAUGCGCGAAAAGGGUGAGAUCGCAAGCAUGGUAAAGCGAGACGGCCUAAGUUCUCGCCGGUGUGGACACUCCCGCAUACGGCCCGUUGGUUUUCUUCUGUCUUUCAAUCAUCUCCCGCUUUCUUUUUAAACCAACUGCGCGGAUCUGGAUGCGCGUUAAAAUGCUGUCUCUCCGUCACGGAAUAAACUAUACCAGAAACGAAACUCUUGUCAAAAGUUGGAACCUUCAAUCUUUUCGUCGUCGAAUCGUCAAUUUGAGUGACCCUGUCUGAACGUUCCAGAUAAAGAAAUUAUUUAUUAAUGUUUAUUUUACUAUUAAUUAAUUACUAUAAUGAUCACAAGUUCUUCCUUAGUAACCCUCAUACGUUACUUGGGAUGAACAUUUGUUCAUGUUUUAGAUUUGUACUAUAUAAAUUUCUACUUCUCUGUGAUUGUUUUUUAUUCGACACAUUCGUUUAAUAUAGUAUGAGAUUGGGAAUAAAACACAAUUGGUAGAAGUAGAAGAUAAAAUAGGAAUAGGUGAAAACUGUGAAAUAAUCUUUUAUUUUCCUGUGUUCGUAAUGCGAAGACACAAAUCUAUACGUUGUGCACUGGAUGUACAACAAAGUUCUGUGCACGGGAAGUUCGUUCCGAAAAGAAUGAGACCGCAAGCACAGUAAAAUGAGACGGCCUAAGUUUUCAUUGGAGUGGACACUCAACAUAGAGCCGCUGCUUUCGUUCUGUCUCUCUCGAUCAUCAGCCGUUCUCUUUCUAAGGACCGGGUGUGCAGUAAAAUGGCGAGGAUAAAAAUGCUUACUAUGGUGAAGCAGAAUUGCUCACUAAGGUGAGCCAUGACUGUACAGUUUAAUUGUGUUUUAAGUAUUCUUUUAGUACGUAUGGAUUUAUAGUAGUGUGAGUAAGAGGAAAUUAAUUUGGAUAAUGAAAUUUUAAUGAAUCUAUAGGAUAAUUAUAACAAGUUUUAUCGGACAGUGUAAACAAGAAUUUUAACUUUCGUGUGUAAAGUUCCCUAACUUGCUAGAAGUGCAUAUCGUAUUCACCGUUAUUCUUUGGCAAAUAGACAAAAA